Molecule: ribosomal RNA, 494 nt
Filed under: Buccinum tunicatum
Lineage: Eukaryota; Metazoa; Mollusca; Gastropoda; Neogastropoda; Buccinidae
Description: Buccinum tenuicatum partial large subunit ribosomal RNA
Source: RNAcentral
CGGACCUGCCCAGUGAAUUUUUUAACGGCCGCGGUACUCUGACCGUGCAAAGGUAGCAUAAUCAUUUGCCUUAUAAUUCAAGGCUAGUAUGAAUGGUUUGACAAGAGUGUAGCUGUCUCUUUGUAAUUAAACAKAAUUUUAUUUAUAGGUGAAGAAGCCUAUAUUGAAUUAAAAGACAAGAAGACCCUAUCGAGCUUUAAAAAAACGAGUAGGAUAAAGCAWUGAUGAACCCAGWUAACUGGCUAUUAGAAAUAUUAGSUGGGGCGAYUGAGGAACAAAAAAAGCUUCCUUUARACACAAAAAAUUAAACAAAUAUUGAUCCAAAACCUUUUGAUUAAAGAAAUUAGUUACCGUAGGGAUAACAGCAUUAUCUUUUUUAAGAGCUCCUAUCGAAAAAAAGGUUUGUGACCUCGAUGUUGGACCAGAAUAUCCUAAAGAUGCCACAGUCUUUAGGGGGUGGUCUGUUCCACCAUUAAAAUUCUACGUGAUCUGGU